Long non-coding RNA from Daphnia pulex (common water flea), 398 nucleotides. RefSeq lists it as uncharacterized. NCBI's taxonomy places the organism in Eukaryota, Metazoa, Arthropoda, Branchiopoda, Diplostraca, Daphniidae. The record is from RefSeq and is a predicted model, not a curated record. The transcript has 3 exons.
GACUGUCAUAUCGAUUUUCGCGCCCGAUGCUAAUCUUUUUUUAAUGGGCGACGAUUACAACUCUGCUCAAUUGGUCGUUGGCAAGUGCUCAACAUUUUAUAUACCACGAAAACCUGUUUACGAAGGGCUUUGAUUAACUAUUUGACGAGUCAACUGCUGUCUCCUGGAGAAUUAACGAUUCAGUGGAUGCCACCAGGAUUGGCAUUACAUCCAUGACAAUGAAGCUGUGACUGCAACCAGGACUACAAACGGUCAGUCGUCUGGUGUGAACGGAGUGUGGGAGUGCCAAUCAACUUGGUGAAUAUCUGCAACUAGUUUACCAUUUCGGUAAGUCGGGAUUUUGCUUGCUUAUUCAUUGGCCCGUCACUCUUCUUCCAUCCUCCGUAAACCCCGUUUAA